AACGAACGCUGGCGGCAGGCUUAACACAUGCAAGUCGAGCGGGCCCGCAAGGGUCAGCGGCGGACGGGUUAGUAACGCGUGGGAACGUGCCUUUUGCUUCGGAAUAGCCCUGGGAAACUGGGGGUAAUACCGGAUGUGCCCUGAGGGGGAAAGAUUUAUCGGCAAGAGAUCGGCCCGCGUUGGAUUAGGUAGUUGGUGGGGUAACGGCCCACCAAGCCGACGAUCCAUAGCUGGUUUGAGAGGAUGAUCAGCAACACUGGGACUGAGACACGGCCCAGACUCCUACGGGGGGCAGCAGUGGGGAAUCUUAGACAAUGGGCGCAAGCCUGAUCUAGCCAUGCCGCGUGGGUGAUGAAGGCCUUAGGGUCGUAAAGCCCUUUCGCCGGGGAAGAUAAUGACGGUACCCGGUAAAGAAACCCCGGCUAACUCCGUGCCAGCCGCCGCAGUAA
RNAcentral lists this ribosomal RNA (449 nucleotides) under uncultured bacterium. RNAcentral's name for it is "partial 16S ribosomal RNA". It matches the Rfam family "Bacterial small subunit ribosomal RNA", at positions 29 to 523 of the family's 1533-position model. The record is from RNAcentral.